UUGCAACCUUUGAUGGCGACCGGCGCACGGGUGAGUAACACGUAUCCAACCUACUCCUUACAACGGAAUAACCCGGCGAAAGUCGGACUAAUACCGUAUGAUAUCCUAUGCAGGCAUCUAACCAGGAUUAAAGGUUUAGCGGUAAGGGAUGGGGAUGCGUCUGAUUAGGCAGUUGGCGGGGUAACGGCCCACCAAACCGACGAUCAGUAGGGGUUCUGAGAGGAAGGUCCCCCACAUUGGAACUGAGACACGGUCCAAACUCCUACGGGAGGCAGCAGCC
RNAcentral lists this ribosomal RNA (280 nucleotides) under uncultured Prevotella sp. RNAcentral's name for it is "partial 16S ribosomal RNA". It matches the Rfam family "Bacterial small subunit ribosomal RNA", at positions 78 to 355 of the family's 1533-position model. The record is from RNAcentral. Lineage: Bacteria; Pseudomonadati; Bacteroidota; Bacteroidia; Bacteroidales; Prevotellaceae.